UCUGCUCAGCUGUGGGGCCACAGAAGGCAGGACGCCCUGACCAUGUUCACCAUGGCCUGGUCCCCUCUGCUCCUCACCCUGGUCACUCUCUGCACAGGAUCCUGGGCCCAGGCAGUGGUGACUCAGCCACCCUCCAUGUCUGGAUCCCCGGGCCAGAGGGUCACCAUCACCUGCACUGGGACCAGCAACAACAUCGGGGGUGGUUAUUAUGUGGGCUGGUUCCAACAGCUCCCAGGAUCGGCCCCCAGACUGCUCAUCUAUGCUACUACCACUCGAGCCUCGGGGGUCCCGGACCAAUUCUCCGGCUCCAGGUCAGGCAACACGGCCACCCUGACCAUCAGUUCGCUCCAGGCUGAGGACGAGGCAGAUUAUUACUGUGCAUCUGCUGACGGUAGGAGCUUUGAUGGCACAGUGCUCCAGGCCAGGGGGGAAGUGAGACAAAAACCUGCUCUGCUCCAGACAUGGGCCUCCCGGGGCUGAACCAUCCUUUGCCAA
Molecule: non-coding RNA, 495 nt
Organism: Dama dama (fallow deer)
Lineage: Eukaryota; Metazoa; Chordata; Mammalia; Artiodactyla; Cervidae
Source: the annotation of a RefSeq genome assembly